UUACUGCACUCUAGGCUCCCACC
This 23-nucleotide microRNA is filed under the name Oreochromis niloticus (Nile tilapia). RNAcentral's name for it is "oni-miR-10868". The record is from miRBase by way of RNAcentral. Lineage: Eukaryota; Metazoa; Chordata; Actinopteri; Cichliformes; Cichlidae.